This 597-nucleotide ribosomal RNA is filed under the name uncultured Trichosporon. Its description in RNAcentral is "eukaryotic LSU rRNA". It matches the Rfam family "Eukaryotic large subunit ribosomal RNA", at positions 62 to 648 of the family's 3401-position model. The record is from RNAcentral. Lineage: Eukaryota; Fungi; Basidiomycota; Tremellomycetes.
AAACUAACAAGGAUUCCCCUAGUAACGGCGAGUGAAGCGGGAAGAGCUCAAAUUUGAAAUCUGGCAGUCUUCGAUUGUCCGAGUUGUAAUCUAUAGAGGCGUUUUCCGUGCCGGACCGUGUCCAAGUCUCCUGGAAAGGAGUAUCAAAGAGGGUGAUAAUCCCGUACUUAACACGACCACCGGUGCUCUGUGAUACGUCUUCUACGAGUCGAGUUGUUUGGGAAUGCAGCUCAAAAUGGGUGGUGAAUUCCAUCUAAAGCUAAAUAUUGGCGAGAGACCGAUAGCGAACAAGUACCGUGAGGGAAAGAUGAAAAGCACUUUGGAAAGAGAGUUAAACAGUACGUGAAAUUGUUGAAAGGGAAACGAUUGAAGUCAGUCGUGUUCUUUGGAUUCAGCCAGUUCUGCUGGUCUACUUCCUUUGAACGGGUCAACAUCAGUUUUGUCCGGUGGAUAAAGGCAGUAGGAAUGUAGCUUCUCCGGAAGUGUUAUAGCCUAUUGUUACAUACACUGGGUGAGACUGAGGACUGCAGCUCGCCUUUAUGGCCGACCUUCGGGUACGUUCGAGCUUAGGAUGUUGACAUAAUGGCUUUAAACGAC